This 72-nucleotide transfer RNA is filed under the name Bos taurus (domestic cattle). It matches the Rfam family "tRNA". Rfam says of the family: Transfer RNA (tRNA) molecules are approximately 80 nucleotides in length. Their secondary structure includes four short double-helical elements and three loops (D, anti-codon, and T loops). Further hydrogen bonds mediate the characteristic L-shaped molecular structure. tRNAs have two regions of fundamental functional importance: the anti-codon, which is responsible for specific mRNA codon recognition, and the 3' end, to which the tRNAs corresponding amino acid is attached (by aminoacyl-tRNA synthetases). tRNAs cope with the degeneracy of the genetic code in two manners: having more than one tRNA (with a specific anti-codon) for a particular amino acid; and 'wobble' base-pairing, i.e. permitting non-standard base-pairing at the 3rd anti-codon position. Lineage: Eukaryota; Metazoa; Chordata; Mammalia; Artiodactyla; Bovidae. The record is from Rfam by way of RNAcentral. RNAcentral also lists the same sequence under 4 other names.
UCCCUGGUGGCUCAGACGGUAAAGCAUCUGCCUGUGAUGCAGGAGACCUGGGUUCAAUCCCUGGGUUGGGAG